CCUACGGGUGGCAGCAGUGAGGAAUAUUGGUCAAUGGACGAGAGUCUGAACCAGCCAAGUAGCGUGAAGGAUGACUGCCCUAUGGGUUGUAAACUUCUUUUAUAAAGGAAUAAAACGAGGCACGUGUGCCUUUUUGCAUGUACGUUAUGAAUAAGGAUCGGCUAACUCCGUGCCAGCAGCCGCGGUAAUACGGAGGAGCCGAGCGUUAUCCGGAUUUAUUGGGGUUCAAGGGAGCGUAGAUGGGUUGUUUAGUCAGUGGGGUAAGUUUGCGGCUCAACCGUAAAAUUGCAAUUGAUACUGGCAGUCUUGAGUACAGUUGCGGUAGGCGGCAUUCGUGGUGUAGCGG
This 346-nucleotide ribosomal RNA is filed under the name uncultured bacterium. Its description in RNAcentral is "partial 16S ribosomal RNA". It matches the Rfam family "Bacterial small subunit ribosomal RNA", at positions 338 to 681 of the family's 1533-position model. The record is from RNAcentral.